CGCCCAACCUCCCACCCGUGACUACCUAACACUGUUGCUUCGGCGGGGAGCCCUCUCGGGGGCGAGCCGCCGGGGACUACUGAACUUCAUGCCUGAGAGUGAUGCAGUCUGAGUCUGAAUAUAAAAUCAGUCAAAACUUUCAACAAUGGAUCUCUUGGUUCCGGCAUCGAUGAAGAACGCAGCGAACUGCGAUAAGUAAUGUGAAUUGCAGAAUUCAGUGAAUCAUCGAGUCUUUGAACGCACAUUGCGCCCCCUGGCAUUCCGGGGGGCAUGCCUGUCCGAGCGUCAUUGCUGCCCAUCAAGCCCGGCUUGUGUGUUGGGUCGUCGUCCCCCCCGGGGGACGGGCCCGAAAGGCAGCGGCGGCACCGUGUCCGGUCCUCGAGCGUAUGGGGCUUUGUCACCCGCUCGAUUAGGGCCGGCCGGGCGCCAGCCGACGUCUCCAACCAUUUUCUUCAGGUUGACCUCGGAUCAGGUAGGGAUACCCGCUGAACUUAAGCAUAUCAA
This 504-nucleotide ribosomal RNA is filed under the name Aspergillus versicolor. RNAcentral's name for it is "eukaryotic LSU rRNA". The stretch from base 135 to 288 matches the Rfam family "5.8S ribosomal RNA". Lineage: Eukaryota; Fungi; Ascomycota; Eurotiomycetes; Eurotiales; Aspergillaceae. The record is from RNAcentral.